RNAcentral lists this ribosomal RNA (394 nucleotides) under uncultured bacterium. RNAcentral's name for it is "bacterial SSU rRNA". It matches the Rfam family "Bacterial small subunit ribosomal RNA", at positions 775 to 1168 of the family's 1533-position model. The record is from RNAcentral.
GGAUUAGAAACCCGGGUAGUCCUGGCAGUAAACGGUGCACGUUUGGUGUGAGGGGAUUCGACCCCCCUUGUGCCGGAGCUAACGCGUUAAACGUGCCGCCUGGGAAGUACGGCCGCAAGGCUAAAACUCAAAGAAAUUGACGGGGACCCGCACAAGCGGUGGAGUAUGUGGCUUAAUUCGAUGCAACGCGAAGAACCUUACCUAGGCUUGACAUGCAUCUCUAAACACGUGAAAGCGUGUGACCCUUCGGGGAAUUUGCACAGGUGCUGCAUGGCCGUCGUCAGCUCGUGUCGUGAGAUGUUGGGUUAAGUCCCGCAACGAGCGCAACCCUUGUGAUUAGUUGCCAGCACGUCAUGGUGGGAACUCUAAUCAGACUGCCCAGAUCAACUGGGAG